This 67-nucleotide transfer RNA is filed under the name Marmota monax (woodchuck). RNAcentral's name for it is "tRNA.Ala". Lineage: Eukaryota; Metazoa; Chordata; Mammalia; Rodentia; Sciuridae. The record is from RNAcentral.
GGUUGUGGCUCAGUGGUAAAGUACUCACCUAGCAUGUGUGGGACCCUGGGUUCAAUCCUCACCACCA